UUGUUUGCAGAUGUAGCAUCAUCAAGAUUCAUACAUGAAAAUUAAGAGGCAAGGUUAUAUAUGUAGCUUUAAUUGAAAUGAAAAAUAAAAUAUAUCAUGACCAUGUCUAUUUAUUUUAAAGUGAGAAUCUUGAUGAUGCUGCAUCAGCAAUAAA
RNAcentral lists this microRNA precursor (154 nucleotides) under Solanum tuberosum (potato). RNAcentral describes it as "mir-172 microRNA precursor family". It matches the Rfam family "mir-172 microRNA precursor family". From Rfam's summary of the family: mir-172 has been experimentally verified in Arabidopsis thaliana. This family is thought to target mRNAs coding for APETALA2-like transcription factors. Lineage: Eukaryota; Viridiplantae; Streptophyta; Magnoliopsida; Solanales; Solanaceae. The record is from Rfam by way of RNAcentral.